AAAUAGCCGCCGGAUUAGAACGGGUAUCAUUGAUGUUGAUAAUUAUGGAGUUUUACUCCGCUAUUUU
This 67-nucleotide transfer RNA is filed under the name Dermatobranchus otome. RNAcentral describes it as "tRNA-Ile". The record is from RNAcentral. Lineage: Eukaryota; Metazoa; Mollusca; Gastropoda; Nudibranchia; Arminidae.